UUGUGCCAAGCAGCCGCGGUAAUUCCAGCUCCAAUAGCGUAUAUUAAAGUUGCUGCGGUAAAAAAGCUCGUAGUUGGAUUUCUGUUGAAGACGUCCGGUCCAUACCACGUAUGCGCAUCUGGCUCGGCUUCGGCAUCCUCUCGAAAGACGUUUCUGCGCUUGAUUGCGUGGAGCGGAUCUCGGGACUUUUACUUUGAGGAAAUUAGAGUGUUCACGGCAGGCUAUCGCCAGAAUACAUUAGCAUGGAAUAAUACUAUAGGAUCUCGGUUCUAUUUUGUUGGUUUCUAGAAUUGAGAUAAUGAUUAAUAGGGACAAUUGGGGGCAUUCGUAUCAACACGUUAGAGGUGAAAUUCUUGGAUCGUGUUGCGACGAACUACUGCGAAAGCAUUUGCCAAGGAUGUUUUCAUUGAUCAAGAACGAAAGUAAGGGGAUCGAAGACGAUUAGAUACCGUCGUAGUCUUUACCAUAAACUAUGCCAACUAGAGAUGGGACAUCGUUCACUUAAGACUUGUUCCGCACCUUAUGAGAUAUCAAAGUCUUUGGGUUCCGGGGGGAGUAUGGUCGCAAGUCUGAAACUUAAAGGAAUUGACGGAAGGGCACCACCAGGAGUGGAGCCUGCGGCUUAAUUUGACUCAACACGGGGAAACUCACCAGGUCCAGACAUAAUAAGGAUUGACAGAUUGAUAGCUCUUUCUUGAUUUUAUGGGUGGUGGUGCAUGGCCGUUCUUAGUUCGUGGAGUGAUUUGUCUGCUUAAUUGCGUUAACGAACGAGACCUUAACCUGCUAAAUAGGAGCGCCUAUCUCCGGAUAAGCGCCUUUCUUCUUAGAGGGACUUUAUGCGUUUCAGCAUGAGGAAGUUUGAGGCUAAAACAGGUCUGUGAUGC
RNAcentral lists this ribosomal RNA (884 nucleotides) under uncultured eukaryote. Its description in RNAcentral is "SSU rRNA". It matches the Rfam family "Eukaryotic small subunit ribosomal RNA", at positions 562 to 1470 of the family's 1831-position model. The record is from RNAcentral.